Molecule: non-coding RNA, 70 nt
Organism: Corchorus olitorius
Lineage: Eukaryota; Viridiplantae; Streptophyta; Magnoliopsida; Malvales; Malvaceae
Source: Rfam
GGACAUUUAGCUUGGUGGUAGAGUAUUGGACUGUUAGUUCCAAUGGUUAGGCUUCGAUCCUAAAAGUCUU